Non-coding RNA from Punica granatum (pomegranate), 1225 nucleotides. The record is from RefSeq and is a predicted model, not a curated record. NCBI's taxonomy places the organism in Eukaryota, Viridiplantae, Streptophyta, Magnoliopsida, Myrtales, Lythraceae.
UUCACUACCCAGACUAAUGAGUUAGUAUAUUCGUUGAAAAUGCUGAUAGGUUUAUAAUUUUAAUGGAGCACGUAGCCUCUUGAACUGCUUAUUCUAAAAGGGCAACAAGAAAAAGAAAAACUGGUAGAGGCCCAGAAAGAUUUAGAUCCAGUUUGUGUAUAUGCGUUGAUAUGGCCCCAGGCCCAAUUUAGGUAAAAGUAAAGCCCAUUGCCAAGGAUCUGGCGAAAGGGCCUGGACAAUGGAAACCUGAGCCAGCCCAAGAUGGAUUACCUCAAUCCCAUUAGGCAGGUCUAACGAUCGUCUUUCAGUUCAUGAUGAUUAAUUUUCUACUUGGUCGAUGGCAGGGGAGCCCCCACCCCCACCGGCGAGCUCGGACGGGGAGGGAGGUCGCCGACGGGGCCACCCCCACACUCGACUCAAUCGCCUUUAACUAAAAAAAAAAAAAAAAAAGAAGGAAGAAAGAGAGGAGAAGAAGCUGAGAGGGACUUGACGAACUUCGAAGGAGUCCAUGAGCGGCCGAUGAGAGGUGAGGGCUAGGCUCCGAUGAGCCUCAGGAGUCGUGUGCUGCCGCCGUUUUGGCCUCAACCGAUGCCGGGUUACUGUUUUAUGCUCUCCUCGGAGGGUUUGUGGGUUUGGGUCAGUGCAGAUUUGAUCUCCCAGGGUUUUUGGGGCCUUAACCAUGUCGAAGGUCUACGGAUUUAUUGAAAAUUGUGCGUUUUGUAUGGCAAUUCAGUCAUGCUUGUUCUUCGAUCAGUUCGUAAAUGUGAUGGGCGUUUUAAUGGUAAUGUUUGUAAUAAUUCAUUGAGAAAGUACUUCUUAAUUUAAAGCAAUAACGGGUCAUAGAGAAAUUCUUCAAUAGCGUUGGUUGCUGUCUCUAUGAACGAGCCUAGUUGGGCUCGGAUAUGGAGGCAGAGCCGGGGAGGAAGCGAGGAGUCGCACUCGGAGCUUUCCUGAUAGAUUGCCGGGAGGGAAGGGGGAGGAGUCAGGCUCAGAGCUGGAGGCAGAGCCGGGAAGGGCAGGCAGGCGGCCUUGGGGCAUUGACGAUCGUCGACUCACCUCGAGGGAUUCUUCUGCUCGUUUGUUGGAUUAGAGGAGAACAUGUGGAAGACGACAUUUUUUUUAUUCUUUAGUGUUUUUAUUUUUUCAAGUAAUUAAAUUAUUUUUAAUUUGGCUGAACCAGUGCGAUUCGAUUUAGUUUAAUCUCGAACCGGAUUCGGCUUGUUCG